GUCCCCGUAGCUUAAAUAAAGCAUGGCACUGAAGAUGCCAAGAUGGUUAGCUACACUACCCGAGGACA
Molecule: transfer RNA, 68 nt
Filed under: Urodynamis taitensis (longtailed cuckoo)
Lineage: Eukaryota; Metazoa; Chordata; Aves; Cuculiformes; Cuculidae
Description: tRNA-Phe
Rfam family: tRNA
About the family: Transfer RNA (tRNA) molecules are approximately 80 nucleotides in length. Their secondary structure includes four short double-helical elements and three loops (D, anti-codon, and T loops).
Source: RNAcentral